CACGCCCUAAACGAUGUCAACUAGGUGUUGGAAGGGUAAAACCUUUUAGUACCGGAGCUAACGCGUGAAGUUGACCGCCUGGGGAGUACGGCCGCAAGGUUAAAACUCAAAGGAAUUGACGGGGACCCGCACAAGCGGUGGAUGAUGUGGAUUAAUUCGAUGCAACGCGAAAAACCUUACCUACCCUUGACAUGUCCAGAAGCCUGAAGAGAUUUGGGUGUGCCCGAAAGGGAACUGGAACACAGGUGC
RNAcentral lists this ribosomal RNA (249 nucleotides) under uncultured bacterium. Its description in RNAcentral is "partial 16S ribosomal RNA". It matches the Rfam family "Bacterial small subunit ribosomal RNA", at positions 796 to 1041 of the family's 1533-position model. The record is from RNAcentral.